Molecule: long non-coding RNA, 1633 nt
Organism: Raphanus sativus (radish)
Lineage: Eukaryota; Viridiplantae; Streptophyta; Magnoliopsida; Brassicales; Brassicaceae
Exons: 5
Source: RefSeq, a predicted model, not a curated record
AUUCAGUUUCGCACCCCAAUGUAAUUAGAUCCUUAAGUCUAACAAAAUGCCUAAUUCAUGAACGAACCCUAAUUUUCCUUUGGUCUUCCUUCUCUUCGAUUCUUCUUCUCUCCCUAACGUUUUUUUUAUCUUUCAACCCACUUCUCCACUUCCUGCUACAAUCUUAGUUGUGGUUAAUCCCAUUCAAUGGCUUCUUUUCAUCUUCCUCUUUGUGUCUUUCUUUACAAAAAUCUAUUUUGGGAUUGGAAGGGAUAAAAAAAGGAGUUAACAACAGAAGCUUGUGCGUUGAUUCACAAAGGAAGGAAGAAUCGGAUUCAGGUUUCCAACACUAAGAAACCUUCAUUCUUCUACGACAAUCUCGCCAAGAAAACAGAGAAGAAGAACACUGUGAAGUAUUAUCAAUGGAGAAAGAGAUUUACAGAAGACAUCUUUCAAGAGAAGAGAUAUGAUGUGUUUGGAUGUUUAUGAACAUCAUGUUUGAUUUCAGACAUGGUGGAUCUAUCCAUAAGCUUUUGAUGGAUAAGAAACGUGGAAGCAAAAAAAUAAUAGGUUUCAGUUUCCUUUUUUUUUCUUUUGGGACAUCAUUAGGAAAAUGUGUCUGAAACAGAAAAAAAUGGAUUCUCAUUUUGUUGGUUAAUGUAACAAUGCAGGUGUUAAGACUAAGGUGGAGAAGCAGCUUACCUGUGACUGCUACUUUGAGGAGAGUGAAGCUGAAAUGCAGUGUGUCAAUAACCUCACUGAAUAGGAGGAGACUGAGCAAAAAUGUGAUACUGAAAGACAAAGGAGAAGAAGAGAAGCAGAACAUGCAGCAAAACCAACAGUGAGGAUGUUAAUGACCAUGCAGACAAGAAACCAGAUGAUCAUCAGAGCGAUGCUGACUCAGUAGAUGAUGACUCAAAAGAGAAGUUCAGUGAGUUGAUAAAGCGGUUGAUAGCUCAGACUCAGAAGGACAGCGACAAGGUAGAGAACUGCAAGAGCCUUGUGGAUGCAUCUCAGUUCUUGGAUUCUAAACAAGGAUCAUUCUGGGACAUUGGUACUUCACCAGUUUCAGGAGAUUCUCAGAGAAUCAAAGAGACACAAAAUUCUACAGCAUUGCUACUACCAGAUGAUUCCAUUAGAGAUGGAUCUUAAUCCGCCUCCUCCACUGACUGAUUUUCUCGAGGAAGUUUAAUCCUUCGCGCCGUGAAGCCUACGGUCACCAGAAAUACUCAGAUGAGGGGCGGGAGGUGAGCGAUGAAGAUGGCUACAUGAGAGGAUCAGAUGCAAGGAUUGAGUGGGAGAGAAGAGAAGAUUAUUGUUUCUGUUAGUUUGAAGCCAGUAAGUGAGAAAGAUAGGCAUAGCGGAUUGGGAGUGUAUCAAUGAUGAAAUAGUCCAACACAGGAGCCAUCUUUCCAUUUCUGAGCGUUCCAUGUACCCCACAGCAUAUAAGUUUGAUCCAUACACACGUAUCAAAACUGGCAAAGGGAUCAGAGUGGGUGUGGUCCAAACAAAGAUCAACAUCGUUACUUAGUCUUUGAAGAGAAAAAAUAUUAAUUAUUACAUUUUCCUUAUAUUGUUAUUUAAUAAUUUUGUAUCUAAUAAAAAAAUACGAGUGGUGUUUUCAAUUCACACCAACAAAGUUUAAUAAAAUUUA